AUUUAAUGCUGGUAAAUACAAUGACGUUAAUACAUAGCAACCAUGACGUUACAUAUAGAGAGCGGUAACGCGUAUAAGUACAUGUAUGAAUCCCGCGUAAUGUGAUUGUCUCUAUUUAUCCUCGACAUACUCGGGGCCGCGAAAUUGUGCAAUUAAAGUCACAAUGAGCAAUUUAUCCAAAUUAAGAAAAUUAUCUAUAAAUGAAAAGAAAUGAAAUAUUUGAAACUUUAAAGUCUAUGAAUCACAUAUAAAACUAUCUCUGAAUCAAGUUGCGAUUGAAAAUUGUUCUCAAUUAUAAUUACAGUCUCUGAUUGCGGUUUUGUAAACGAACACUCCUUCUAAGUAUUUGCGAUUCAUCAUUGUCGUUUUUUUUUUAACGGGAUGAUGAGGUAUGUAGUGUAUGCGCUGUGAGUCCUCCUUCUCUUCUACCUUUUCGAUGAAACCACGUUUUUUCUGCUUUGUACAGGAUGAAAAUUCUUUGAUGUUCUGUUUUUCCGUGUUAAGUUUGUCGUUUUCUUGUAUACCAAGGGACUUC
RNAcentral lists this long non-coding RNA (535 nucleotides) under Mytilus galloprovincialis (Mediterranean mussel). Lineage: Eukaryota; Metazoa; Mollusca; Bivalvia; Mytilida; Mytilidae. The record is from RNAcentral.